CGAAAUGGUGCAGUUAAACCUAGGCAUGGGCCGGGCCUGAGCCCAUGAAUGGUGGACCGUGCCGGGCCGAACCUGAAAUUUUCAGAAUUUGCUAUUGAGAUUAGCUUGUUAAUUAUAUCCAACAAAUCAACUGAGAAGUCUGAGGGAGUUGAAUUAUCUAUUUCUGCAACAACAUUGAAUUUCGGGUGCUAUCUUAUCUCUCUCUCUUAUGAAUUUACAAUAAUUGUUUGUGUUUGUUUAAUUUGUAACUUUUUAAGUGAAUUAUUAUUGCUUUUGGAAAUCCUGUAACCUGAAAUUAUACUUCAUCAAUGUGAUAUUCUGGGUUAAUAAAAUAGAUGGUUUUUUUUAUA
Long non-coding RNA from Beta vulgaris subsp. vulgaris (sugar beet), 350 nucleotides. RefSeq lists it as uncharacterized. Lineage: Eukaryota; Viridiplantae; Streptophyta; Magnoliopsida; Caryophyllales; Amaranthaceae. The transcript has 2 exons. The record is from RefSeq and is a predicted model, not a curated record.